Lemur catta (Ring-tailed lemur) is the source of this 207-nucleotide long non-coding RNA. RefSeq lists it as uncharacterized. The record is from RefSeq and is a predicted model, not a curated record. Lineage: Eukaryota; Metazoa; Chordata; Mammalia; Primates; Lemuridae. The transcript has 3 exons.
GCUGAAUUGGAGCAGAGAUGGAUUCAGGCUAUGAAAGCCCAUGAACAUUCUUAUGGCACCAGGCGUGUGCUUCAUCCUGGAGAGACCUAAAGCCCUCCACAUUCUGCUUGCUAUCAUGGAAGGCACAGGUGUCCGUGUGUUUGGGGCAAAAAAAUGAAUCUCUGCUGACAAUUGUAAAGAAAGAGAGAACAGCUGUUUGCAUCUGGA